CAAUAGCGUAUAUUAAAGUUGUUGCAGUUAAAAAGCUCGUAGUUGGAUUUCUGGUGGGAGCGAUCGGUCUGGCGCUUAGCGCGAGUACUUGCAUCGUCUCCGGCCAUCCUUGGGGAGAGUCUGUCUGGCAUUAGGUUGUCGGGCAGAGGAUCCUCAUCGUUUACUGUGAAAAAAUUAGAGUGUUCAAAGCAGGCUUAUGCCGUUGAAUAUAUUAGCAUGGAAUAAUAAGAUAGGACUUUGGUACUAUUUUGCUGGUUUGCGCACCAAAGUAAUGAUUAAUAGGGACAGUUGGGGGUAUUCGUAUUCCGUUGUCAGAGGUGAAAUUCUUGGAUUUACGGAAGACGAACUACUGCGAAAGCAUUUACCAAGGAUGUUUUCAUUAA
RNAcentral lists this ribosomal RNA (383 nucleotides) under uncultured eukaryote. RNAcentral describes it as "partial 18S ribosomal RNA". It matches the Rfam family "Eukaryotic small subunit ribosomal RNA", at positions 592 to 976 of the family's 1831-position model. The record is from RNAcentral.